RNAcentral lists this unclassified non-coding RNA (395 nucleotides) under soil metagenome. RNAcentral's name for it is "partial contains 5.8S ribosomal RNA, internal transcribed spacer 2, and large subunit ribosomal RNA". The stretch from base 1 to 122 matches the Rfam family "5.8S ribosomal RNA", at positions 35 to 154 of the family's 154-position model. The record is from RNAcentral.
GAUGAAGCACGUAGCGAAAUGCGAUACUUGGUGUGAAUUGCAGAAUCCCGUGAACCAUCGAGUCUUUGAACGCAAGUUGCGCCCGAAGCCAUCAGGUUGAGGGCACGUCUGCCUGGGCGUCACAUAUCGUUGCCCAAUGCCUAUUGCAGUGCAAUAGGAAUUUCUAGGGCGAAUGAUGGCUUCCCGUGAGCGUUGUUGCCUCGCGGUUGGUUGAAAAUCGAGUCCUUGGUAGGGUGUGCCAUGGUAGAUGGUGGUCGAGUUAGAACGAUACCGAUCAUGUGCAUGCUCCCCAAAAUAUGGCCUCUAUGACCCACACGCGUCUUUUGACGCUCAUGACGAGACCUCAGGUCAGGCGGGGCUACCAGCUGAAUUUAAGCAUAUCAAUAAGCGGAGGA